CCAAUAGCGUAUAUUAAAGUUGCUGCAGUUAAAAGGCUCGUAGUUGAAUUUCGGGACUAAUAUGUCGGUCGUGCCUCGGUACGUACUGGUAUUUUUGGUUUCUCCCUUCUGACGAACCUGGAUGUCAUUAAUUUGGUGUCUUGGGAAAUCAGGACUGUUACUUUGAAAAAAUUAGAGGGUUUAAAGCAGGCUCACGCUGGAAUACAUUAGCAUGGAAUAAUGAAAUAGGACGUUUGAUUCUAUUUUGUUGGUUUCUAGGAUCGACGUAAUGAUUAAUAGGGAUAGUUGGGGGCAUUAGUAUUCAAUUGUCAGAGGUGAAAUUCUUGGAUUUAUUGAAGACUAACUACUGCGAAAGCAUUUGCCAAGGAUGUUUUCAUUAAUCAAGAACGAAAGUUAGGGGAUCGAAGACGAUCAGAUACCGUCGUAGUCUUAACCAUAAACUAUGCCGACUAGGGAUCGGAUGAUGUUGAUUUUUUAAUGACUCAUUCGGCGCCUUACG
RNAcentral lists this ribosomal RNA (499 nucleotides) under uncultured Glomeromycotina. RNAcentral's name for it is "partial small subunit ribosomal RNA". It matches the Rfam family "Eukaryotic small subunit ribosomal RNA", at positions 591 to 1092 of the family's 1831-position model. Lineage: Eukaryota; Fungi; Glomeromycota. The record is from RNAcentral.